CGCGGCCUAUCAGCUUGUUGGUGAGGUAACGGCUCACCAAGGCAAUGACGGGUAGCUGGUCUGAGAGGACGAUCAGCCACACUGGAACUGAGAUACGGUCCAGACUCCUACGGGAGGCAGCAGGAGGGAAUCUUGCGCAAUGGGCGAAAGCCUGACGCAGCGACGCCGCGUGGGGGAUGAAUGCCUUAGGGUUGUAAACCCCUUUCACGAGGGAAGAAACUGACGGUACCUCGAGAAGAAGCCCCGGCCAACUACGUGCCAGCAGCCGCGGUAAUACGUAGGGGGCGAGCGUUGUCCGGAUUUAUUGGGCGUAACGGGCUCGUAGGCGGCUUGGCAAGUCGGCCGUGAAAACCCAGGGCUCAACUCUGGGACGCCGGUCGAUACUGCCAUGGCUAGGGUCCGGUAGAGGGGAAUGGAAUUCCCGGUGUAGCGGUGAAAUGCGCAGAUAUCGGGAGGAACACCAGUAGCGAAGGCGGUUCCCUGGGCCGGCACCGACGCUGAGGAGCGAAAGCGUGGGGAGCAAACAGGAUUAGAUACCCUGGUAGUCCACGCCGUAAACGUUGGGUACUAGGCGUGGCGUCUUAUCAACGGAUGCCGUGCUCGAAGCUAACGCGUUAAGUACCCCGCCUGGGGAGUACGG
RNAcentral lists this ribosomal RNA (640 nucleotides) under uncultured Actinomycetes bacterium. RNAcentral's name for it is "bacterial SSU rRNA". It matches the Rfam family "Bacterial small subunit ribosomal RNA", at positions 232 to 885 of the family's 1533-position model. The record is from RNAcentral. Lineage: Bacteria; Bacillati; Actinomycetota; Actinomycetes.